Molecule: ribosomal RNA, 512 nt
Filed under: uncultured bacterium
Lineage: Bacteria
Description: partial 16S ribosomal RNA
Rfam family: Bacterial small subunit ribosomal RNA
Source: RNAcentral
GACGAACGCUGGCGGCGUGCCUAAUACAUGCAAGUCGAGCGAAUCAAUAGGAGCUUGCUCCUGUUGAUUAGCGGCGGACGGGUGAGUAACACGUGGGCAACCUGCCUGUAAGACUGGGAUAACACCGGGAAACCGGUGCUAAUACCGGAUAAUCCUUUUCCUCUCAUGAGGGAAAGCUGAAAGUCGGUUUCGGCUGACACUUACAGAUGGGCCCGCGGCGCAUUAGCUAGUUGGUGAGGUAACGGCUCACCAAGGCGACGAUGCGUAGCCGACCUGAGAGGGUGAUCGGCCACACUGGGACGGAGACACGGCCCAGACUCCUACGGGAGGCAGCAGUAGGGAAUCUUCCACAUUGGACGAAAGUCUGAUGGAGCAACGCCGCGUGAGCGAUGAAGGCCUUCGGGUCGUAAAGCUCUGUUGUUAGGGAAGAACAAGUACCGGAGUAACUGCCGGUACCUUGACGGUACCUAACCAGAAAGCCACGGCUAACUACGUGCCAGCAGCCGCCGUAA